Small nuclear RNA from Cavia porcellus (domestic guinea pig), 108 nucleotides. The record is from Ensembl. NCBI's taxonomy places the organism in Eukaryota, Metazoa, Chordata, Mammalia, Rodentia, Caviidae.
GUGCUCACUUCAGCAGCACAUAUAAUAAAUUUGGAAUGAUACAGAGAAGGUUAAGCCUGGCCACUGCGCAAGGAUGACACACAAAUUCGUGAAGCAUUCCAUAUUUUU